This 253-nucleotide ribosomal RNA is filed under the name uncultured bacterium. RNAcentral's name for it is "partial 16S ribosomal RNA". It matches the Rfam family "Bacterial small subunit ribosomal RNA", at positions 524 to 776 of the family's 1533-position model. The record is from RNAcentral.
UACGGGGGGAGCAAACGUUGUUCGGAAUUACUGGGCGUAAAGCGCACGUAGGUGGCGACGUAAGUCGGGUGUGAAAGCCCCGGGCUCAACCUGGGAAUUGCAUUCGAGACUGCAUUGCUGGAGUACGGAAGAGGAAGGCGGAAUUCCCGGUGUAGCGGUGAAAUGCGUAGAUAUCGGGAGGAACAUCAGUGGCGAAGGCGGCCUUCUGGUCCAGUACUGACACUCAAGUGCGAAAGCGUGGGGAGCAAACAGG